CCUACGGGGGGCAGCAGUGAGGAAUAUUGGUCAAUGGGCGGAAGCCUGAACCAGCCAAGUCGCGUGCGGGAAGACGGCCCUAUGGGUUGUAAACCUCUUUUGUCCGGGGGCAACACCCUCCACGUGUGGCGGUCCGCAGGUACCCUGCGAAAAAGGCUCGGCUAAUUCCGUGCCAGCAGCCGCGGUAAUACGGAGGGCGCGAGCGUUAUCCGGAUUUAUUGGGUUUAAAGGGUGCGUAGGCGGAAGUUCAAGUCAGCGGUAAAAUCGCGAGGCUCAACCUCGCCCCGCCGUUGAAACUGGUGUUCUUGAGUGGGCGAGAAGUAUGCGGAAUGCGUGGUGUAGCGGUGAAAUGCAUAGAUAUCACGCAGAACUCCGAUUGCGAAGGCAGCAUACCGGCGCGCAACUGACGCUGAGGCACGAAAGUGUGGGUAUCGAACAGGAUUAGAUACCCUUGUAGUC
RNAcentral lists this ribosomal RNA (459 nucleotides) under uncultured bacterium. Its description in RNAcentral is "partial 16S ribosomal RNA". It matches the Rfam family "Bacterial small subunit ribosomal RNA", at positions 338 to 795 of the family's 1533-position model. The record is from RNAcentral.